This 567-nucleotide long non-coding RNA is filed under the name Capsicum annuum. RNAcentral's name for it is "long non-coding RNA (CANN_LNC015443)". The record is from RNAcentral. Lineage: Eukaryota; Viridiplantae; Streptophyta; Magnoliopsida; Solanales; Solanaceae.
UGUCAUUUGACUACAUAAUCCACAUUAAGCAAACUAAGAAAGAUAAUUAAUGCUACAUUAUAAUAGAAAACCUAGAAAGGAAAACAAGGAACCUUACUAACUCUGCAGCAAUAGAUCUGUAAAAGAAUUUUAAAACCACAAAGUAUUUUCUUGAAAAGCUCAUUUUGCACAAUUCAAUAAUGCAAGCCUCUUAGUUUUACAAGAACUCAGAUCCAACAUACUUACUUGAAUAAAAUUUAGCAAUGAUGGCCACACACAAACAAAUUUGAGAACAUAAGAAAAACAGUCACCUUUCCCCUAAACUGGUGAAGCAAGAAAUACCUCAACUGGCAUCGGCGGUGUUGGCAUGGUUGAUGUUGGGAGGCGGCGCGGGUGCUCUUCCGGCUGAAAUUGCGGCUGGCUCGGAGGCAUCGGGUUUUCUCCGGCUAGGGAAGAGAAGAGGGAGCCGGGAAGAGGGGACGGGGCGGCAUCGGGUUUCUCAGCGGCGGCGGCAGCCAUUGAUGGUUAAAGAGAGGUAGAGAGAGAGAGGGAUGCAAAGAGGGAGGUGACACAAAAGUAGAAUUAAUA